Molecule: ribosomal RNA, 433 nt
Filed under: uncultured bacterium
Lineage: Bacteria
Description: partial 16S ribosomal RNA
Rfam family: Bacterial small subunit ribosomal RNA
Source: RNAcentral
AACGAACGCUGGCGGCAUGCCUAACACAUGCAAGUCGAACGAGACCUUCGGGUCUAGUGGCGCACGGGUGCGUAACGCGUGGGAACCUGCCUUUAGGUCCGGAAUAACUCAGAGAAAUUUGAGCUAAUACCGGAUGAUGUCUUCGGACCAAAGAUUUAUCGUCUUUAGAUGGGCCCGCGUUGGAUUCGCUAGUUUGUGGGGUAAAGUCCUACCAAGGCGACGAUCCAUAGCUGGUCUGAGAGGAUGAUCAGCCACACUGGGACUGAGACACGGCCCAGACUCCUACGGGAGACAGCAGUGGGGAAUAGUGGACAAUGGGCGAAAGCCUGAUCCAGCAAUGCCGCGUGAGUGAUGAAGGCCUUAGGGUUGUAAAGCUCUUUUACCCGAGAUGAUAAUGACAGUAUCGGGAGAAUAAGCUCCGGCUAACUCCGUG